This 222-nucleotide long non-coding RNA is filed under the name Ananas comosus (pineapple). Its description in RNAcentral is "long non-coding RNA (ACOM_LNC011312)". Lineage: Eukaryota; Viridiplantae; Streptophyta; Magnoliopsida; Poales; Bromeliaceae. The record is from RNAcentral.
AUACUCAAUUCAACAAAUAUGUCAUGAUACGAUAGAUUAAUCCUCACCAGCCGUCCCUAGCGCAAAGGGCUUGAUAGUUGGUACUCGAGGUUCCAAGUUCGAAUCCUAGUUGAUUCAUAUUUUCAGCUAAGUUUAUUUCUAAAUGAAAUAAACGAAGUGGAUAGUAUGCUAUCUAUCUCUCUAAAAAAAAAAAAAAUAGAUUAAUCCUUGGAGAUCAUUGUC